ACCCGCUGAACUUAAGCAUAUCAAUAAGCGGAGGAAAAGAAACCAACAGGGAUUGCCCUAGUAACGGCGAGUGAAGCGGCAACAGCUCAAAUUUGAAAUCUGGCGUCUUUGGCGUCCGAGUUGUAAUUUGCAGAGGGCGCUUUGGCAUUGGCAGCGGUCCAAGUUCCUUGGAACAGGACGUCACAGAGGGUGAGAAUCCCGUACGUGGUCGCUAGCCUUUACCGUGUAAAGCCCCUUCGACGAGUCGAGUUGUUUGGGAAUGCAGCUCUAAAUGGGAGGUAAAUUUCUUCUAAAGCUAAAUACUGGCCAGAGACCGAUAGCGCACAAGUAGAGUGAUCGAAAGAUGAAAAGCACUUUGGAAAGAGAGUUAAAAAGCACGUGAAAUUGUUGAAAGGGAAGCGCUUGCAGCCAGACUUGCCUGUAGUUGCUCAUCCGGGUUUUUACCCGGUGCACUCUUCUAUAGGCAGGCCAGCAUCAGUUUGGGCGGUUGGAUAAAGGUCUCUGUCAUGUACCUCUCUUCGGGGAGAACUUAUAGGGGAGACGACAUGCAACCAGCCUGGACUGAGGUCCGCGCAUCUGCUAGGAUGCUGGCGUAAUGGCUGU
RNAcentral lists this ribosomal RNA (603 nucleotides) under uncultured fungus. Its description in RNAcentral is "eukaryotic LSU rRNA". It matches the Rfam family "Eukaryotic large subunit ribosomal RNA", at positions 23 to 641 of the family's 3401-position model. The record is from RNAcentral. Lineage: Eukaryota; Fungi.